GGAAUAUUGGGCAAUGGAGGAAACUCUGACCCAGCGACGCCGCGUGCGGGAUGAAGGCCUUCGGGUUGUAAACCGCUUUCAGUAGGGAAGAAGCGAAAGUGACGGUACCUACAAAAGAAGCACCGGCUAACUAUGUGCCAGCAGCCGCGGUAAUACAUAGGGUGCAAGCGUUGUCCGGAAUUAUUGGGCGUAAAGAGCUCGUAGGUCGUUUGUUACGUCGGAUGUGAAAACUUGAGGCUCAACCUCAGGCCUGCAUUCGAUACGGGCAAACUAGAGUUUGGUAGGGGAGACUGGAAUUCCUGGUGUAGCGGUGGAAUGCGCAGAUAUCAGGAGGAACACCAAUGGCGAAGGCAGGUCUCUGGGCCAAUACUGACACUGAGGAGCGAAAGUCUGGGGAGCGAACAGGAUUAGAUACCCUGGUAGUCCAGACCGUAAACGGUGGGCACUAGUUGUGGGAACCUUCCACGGUUUCUGCGACGCAGCUAACGCAUUAAGUGCCCCGCCUGGGGAGUACGAUCGCAAGAUUAAAACUCAAAGGAAUUGACGG
This 547-nucleotide ribosomal RNA is filed under the name uncultured bacterium. RNAcentral's name for it is "bacterial SSU rRNA". It matches the Rfam family "Bacterial small subunit ribosomal RNA", at positions 358 to 916 of the family's 1533-position model. The record is from RNAcentral.